GUGAGGAAUAUUGGACAAUGGGCGCAAGCCUGAUCCAGCAAUGCCGCGUGCAGGAAGAAGGCCUUCGGGUUGUAAACUGCUUUUGUACGGAACGAAAAGCCUCUGGUUAAUACCCGGGGGUCAUGACGGUACCGUAAGAAUAAGCACCGGCUAACUACGUGCCAGCAGCCGCGGUAAUACGUAGGGUGCGAGCGUUAAUCGGAAUUACUGGGCGUAAAGCGUGCGCAGGCGGUGAUGUAAGACAGUUGUGAAAUCCCCGGGCUCAACCUGGGAACUGCAUCUGUGACUGCAUUGCUGGAGUGCGGCAGAGGGGGAUGGAAUUCCGCGUGUAGCAGUGAAAUGCGUAGAUAUGCGGAGGAACACCGAUGGCGAAGGCAAUCCCCUGGGCCUGCACUGACGCUCAUGCACGAAAGCGUGGGGAGCAAACAGGAUUAGAUACCCCGGUAGUCC
RNAcentral lists this ribosomal RNA (450 nucleotides) under uncultured bacterium. Its description in RNAcentral is "partial 16S ribosomal RNA". It matches the Rfam family "Bacterial small subunit ribosomal RNA", at positions 354 to 796 of the family's 1533-position model. The record is from RNAcentral.